AUGGCAUCCCAACUCAAAAAUCUUCUGUUUGUCUCGGCUACUUCUCCUCUCCUGCUGUUGCUGCUAUGCAUGGCCAGUGCAAUCAGCCCUGAAGGAGAAGCGCUCCUCCGAUGGAAAUCCACUUUGCUCAACUCCACCUCUCUGUCCUCAUGGUCGCAUGCCAAUCCGACCUGCUAUUGGCACGGCGUCACCUGUGAUGCAGCCGGUCAUGUUACUCUGCUCCGUCUUCCUGCAUGCGACCUCAAAGGUACACUAGAUGCCUUAUACUCUCCUGCAUUCCAGAACCUCACAGGGAUUGAUCUCUACUACAAUAACAUUUUCGGUGUCAUCCCGGUAAAUAUCUCUUUGUUUCUCACCCUCACAAGUCUGGAUUUGAGCUGGAAUAAUCUUGUUGGUGACAUCCCCUACCAGCUCAGCAAUCUCCCAAAGAUUGCUGAGUUAGAUUUGGGAAAUAACCACUUGACCAACCCAGACCAUACCAAGUUCUCGCCUAUGCCCACUUUGUCGCUAUUAUCUCUAAAUAGCAACAACCUACAUGGCACCUUUCCACAGUUCAUCCUCAACCGUACCAACGUUUGGUUGGUACAACUUGACCUAUCAAGUAACUCCUUCACGGGUUCGAUACCGACGACCCUGCCAGAUAUAGCACCAAAUUUAAGGCUCAUUGAUCUAUCCUCCAACAUGUUCUUCGGGUGCAUACCACAGUCGCUCUCCAAACUUGCAAGGAUUGAAAGCCUCUAUCUCCAGGAGAACAAUCUUACUGGAGGAAUCCCAAAGGGGCUCAGUAACCUAACUAAUCUGGGAAACAUGGACCUGUCAAGGAACAUACUCUCUGGAGAGUUGCCACCGUCUUUUUCUAGGAUGAAUAAAAUGCAAACGUUUCAAGUGGGGAACAACCACCAUCUCAGCGGCAGCAUCCCAUUGGAGUGGUUCUCAAACUGGACCUUGCUCCGUACUUUUGAUGUGGCAAACAACGACUUGGUCGGGAGCAUCCCACCGGAGAUCACUAGGUGGGAGGUAAUAGACACACUGGUCCUCCGAGGCAACUGCCUCAUCGGAAAGGUCCGUGCAGAGCUAGGAUAUCUCCCCAACCUUUAUGCACUGGACCUAUCCAGUAAUAACCUUACUGGUACAAUACCAUUGGAGUUUGGUAAUUUGUCUUAUUUACAAAUCCUUGACCUCAGCAACAACCUCUUGGAGGGAGAGAUUCCAGGAAUCUUGUCCCUCCUUCCUCUCACUGAUAUACUCCUGUCUGGAAACAAGUUCACGGGCAUCGCCGACAAUAAUUUUUGUGAGCUACCUAAUCUAAAACUAUUGGACUUGUCGAAGAAUCUCAUAUCUGGAGCGGUCCCUGGUUGUUUUUGGAACAUACCUUCUGUUACAUACAUGGAUUUGUCAAGCAAUGCCUUUGCUGAAGAAGUUACAGCCUCGGCGGUUGACUUUUCUCAACUAGAUUCAGUAGAUCUAUCAAACAACAACUUGACAGGCUGCUUUCCAUCUGUUCUGAAGAACUUAGAACUCCUGGAAUUUUUGGAUCUUGGAGGCAAUAUGUUUUCAGGCAAAAUUCCUUCAUGGAUAGGAGCUAGCCUCUCUAUGCUAAGAAUUCUCCGGCUGUGGUCAAAUAUGUUUCAUGGAAGUAUUCCUUGCGAGGUAUCACAACUCUCUGAUCUCCAGUUGCUUGACCUUGCUGACAACAAUCUUACAGGUCACAUACCUGUAAGUUUUGCUAACUUUAAUUACACAAUCAUGACAAAGCCAGAACUGGAACAUAACAGCGGGCCCAUGGUGAUGGUUGACAGCUUUCUGCCUCACUACAGUGACCAGGUUGACAUAAUCUGGAAGGGGCGUGAUUAUAAUUACAGUAGAAAAAUUAUGCUUAUGACUGGUAUUGAUCUAUCAAGCAACUACCUUUCUGGUGAGAUCCCUGCAGAAUUGUUGAAUCUUGGAGCCAUUCGGUUCCUGAACCUGUCAAGAAAUAAUUUAUCUGGUGCUAUCCCAAGUAACAUUGGUAAUUUAAAAGAUGUGGAGUCUCUUGACCUCUCAUGGAACAAGCUCUCAGGUCCUAUUCCUCCAAGCAUAUCACACCUGAUGUUCCUCAGCUCUCUUAAUCUCUCCAACAACCUUCUUCAAGGAGAGAUACCUUCAGGAAAUCAGCUACAAACACUGGAUGACCCCUCCAUCUAUAGCAACAACCUGGGACUAUGUGGUGUCCCCCUGAGCAUUCCAUGUAAAAAUGGUUCGAGUUCUACAACAGCACUGGAUGGGGCAAAGGAAGGCCACCAUCAACUUGAAACCCUGUGGCUGUACUACUCAGUGAUUGCUGGAACUGUCUUUGGUUUCUGGAUAUGGUUUGGAACAUUGUUUUUCUGGAGCAUCUGGAGGUUUACGUUCUUCAGUUGCAUCGAUGCCAUGCAGCAGAAGUUUAUGCUGAAGAUGAAGCGUACCUGA
This 2448-nucleotide ribosomal RNA is filed under the name Triticum aestivum (bread wheat). RNAcentral's name for it is "partial small subunit ribosomal RNA". Lineage: Eukaryota; Viridiplantae; Streptophyta; Magnoliopsida; Poales; Poaceae. The record is from RNAcentral.